GAAGCGUUAGCAAGGCCUUGCAGGGGGAGUGCAGCUGGUGCUUAGCAUAUGGUGGGAGUAUGGUAAGACAGGAUCAUUUAGGGCUUUGAAGGUUGUUGUAAGAACUUGGGCUUCCCCCCAACCCCCCAAUUUGGAACACACUGGAGGGAUUAGAGAGACAGCG
Ochotona curzoniae (black-lipped pika) is the source of this 163-nucleotide long non-coding RNA. RefSeq lists it as uncharacterized. The transcript is spliced from 3 exons. The record is from RefSeq and is a predicted model, not a curated record. Lineage: Eukaryota; Metazoa; Chordata; Mammalia; Lagomorpha; Ochotonidae.